This 236-nucleotide unclassified non-coding RNA is filed under the name Hevea brasiliensis (rubber tree). Lineage: Eukaryota; Viridiplantae; Streptophyta; Magnoliopsida; Malpighiales; Euphorbiaceae. The record is from RNAcentral.
AAAAUUUUUUCCCCAGGUAGAAUCAUUAAGCCUCAGAGAUCUUUGUGAAUAGUAAUAAUAAACUUCAAAAGCACACCAUUCAGAAUCUUUUGAUAAUUUCAAACCCAACAAGAAAAUCGAGAAACCAAACCCCAAUUUUGAAGAAACAAGAAAGUUUCAAGGAGAAAUGAUUCCAUUGAACAUAUAGAAUCAGGAGCCUAAACAUUGCAUAUCAUGUGCAUCUAAAAUGGUAAUGA